AGACUUGGUUGAGUUACUUUGGUUUCAUAUGAUACAUGGAUUUUAUUUGCUUAUUUGGCUUGUUUGGAGCUUAAUCCAAAGGAGUGAAUUCUUGCUUGACUUAUGUCAUAAAGCUUGCUAUCUCUUGGUUAUAUCUUUCCUCCCUAGCUUUUACUUUAUGCUCUUGGAUAGUCUCUUCUUCUCCCCCCUUCUUUAAUUUUCAAAAUCUUCUCUCGUUUUCAAAACCUUCUUGUUUUUUUUUUAAAUUGAAC
This 251-nucleotide long non-coding RNA is filed under the name Lathyrus oleraceus (garden pea). Its description in RNAcentral is "Pisum sativum (pea) long non-coding RNA (PSAT_LNC007467)". The record is from RNAcentral. Lineage: Eukaryota; Viridiplantae; Streptophyta; Magnoliopsida; Fabales; Fabaceae.